AGCGCACCGUUUUCUGCUGAACAUGUUUCUCGCGGUCCACCGAGAAAGGUUUCUGCGUACGCUGGUGGAUUUCGCGGUCGAACUCCUGUUUUCAUUUGUAGCCUGUCUCAACUCUUUUUGCACGAUAGCCCAGUUUAGCUGCAGAAAAAUGUACGAGGCACCGCUACGUCAAAAGAGCCGCUUUGUGCUGCUGGCUUUGUCUUUGCUUGUCGCAUACACCGAGAGCUGUUGAGAAUCUCGCUUUCACUCCUUUGCCGGCAGCGCGGCAUCCUUAAGGCAAUCAGCGCAUUUCUUACCAGGAAGAAAGUCAAACAACUGGGCGGUUGCGUGUGGAAAAAGCAGGCUCUCUCGUGGAAUCGUUCGUAGAUAAUUUCAAGUCGCUCAGCAUUCGUCUGUCAGUUCCAAGCGAAGACGACGAGUCGCGCUACCUCAUGUCAACUCUGCCGCUCCACGCGCGGAUUUUCUGAACCGUUUAGACAACGCAUGACGACGGCAGACUGCGGAACAUGCAAACGACCGGCCCUCUGUCGGGCGUUCAAAGAGCUGCACGUUGGGUCUCUUGGGACUCGGUAGUUUCUGGAGACCUCGUUUUUUCUGCGAAAAAAAGUGUGGCUUCCUUUUCCACAGAGACGCAGCAUCGCAAACCAAGUGCGUCGGCUUCGCCUCAUCGACCGACUCGAGGAAAAACGCAGAAACGCGGUUCUUCCGGCUCUCGUGUGUCAUGCAUGCGCCGGGGGAGGAACCCAGUUGAGUCGUACUCUUCCGAGACGUCGAGACAGCGUCUGGAAGUCGCAGGCAAAGAUGGAAACAAGAUCCUUUGUAAAGCGUCUUUGCGGACAGAGGCGAGGCGGAAGGAAUCGACUCACGUAGAUUGAGGAAAGACCUUCUUAUCAAUGGACACAGAAAGGCGCACAUCACAGUGCCUCGCCGAAACGCAGAAUUCGCCGCAUGUAGCAGUAGAGCG
Molecule: long non-coding RNA, 964 nt
Filed under: Toxoplasma gondii VEG
Lineage: Eukaryota; Apicomplexa; Conoidasida; Eucoccidiorida; Sarcocystidae
Source: RNAcentral